Molecule: RNA transcript, 2005 nt
Organism: Hydractinia symbiolongicarpus
Lineage: Eukaryota; Metazoa; Cnidaria; Hydrozoa; Anthoathecata; Hydractiniidae
Gene name: protein C3orf33 homolog
Exons: 7
Source: RefSeq, a predicted model, not a curated record
UGGCCGUAAUAACGGCUCAGGGGCCACAAAGUCUUAAGCAAUAUUAGACUGUCGUACAUAAGUAGGCCUGCCCCGAUUUUUGUGUGUUUUAAGUAAGAAAUGAUAUUAGACUGUGGUACAUAAAGCCGCCUGCCCUGAUUAUGUUCCUUUUAUAACUGCCAAAUAAUAUUUUUUAACUGUCGUACAUAAUUAGCCCGCCUGUCCUGAUUAUGUUGUCCUGAUUAUGUAUUUUCUGUCCUGUUUUUAACCGGGCCAAGCUGCUGUACAUGGGCAGCGUUUAUUAUCCGGGCAGAACAGAGCCAACCCGCCUCAUAAUCAGGCUCUGAGUGGGACAAAGGCAUCAGAAGUUUGGAGACGAAAGGCAGACAGUGCUUUCGCACUCUUUAUUGGAAACCACGAGCGACUGUGUCCGUCACAAUUUUUUGCCAUUGAAGAACUGAAUUAUUCCUCAAGAGCAAACAAAUGCUAACAUAUAAUGAUUAAUGAAUUUUCGAAAUUAAUUGAUAAUCAUAUACAUAUAAUAAGGGCUUCUGUUACAUUCAUUGGUUUUGCAGGUGUGGCGAUUUUUUCUAAGAAAUCACAUUUGUUCAAGAUUUAUAACAAUGCUGCUGAAAUACCAUCUGAAUUUAUCAGCAAGCAAAGACAGUUAAGAGGAGUUGUAAAAAAUAUUCAUGAAUCUGGAAAAAUACAAAUUCAGCACCAGGCUACUCUUUUGCCAAAAUUUUUCACACAAAAAGGAAAGCAUCUGGAAAUUUUACUGGCUGGGACACAUCCUAGAAAUGGAUGGCUUUCAUUUCUUACUACGCAGUUAUUGCAUAAACCUGUUCAUUUUGUAAUACUAAAGAGAGAGGGUAAUCUGCUGUACUCUGUCCUAUACCAGAAAAAGCUUCACCAGUAUAACCCUAUUCAUGCACGGACAUUUGAUGGCCUUAUAUUUAAGUCGGAUAUCAGCUUUGUUUCAUUAUCUUGGCAACCACUUGACCUAUGAGAACCAAACCUUGUACAAUGUUAACACAGAGAAAAUAAAAUUACAUAAGCUAUAAGUGCUAAACAAGUUAAAUUGGAAGUAAUCGCUGAUGCACGUGGUAAAGGAGUAUGGAAAAAAAACUCAAUGAAGGAGAAAAUCUUGAAUUAUUUGAGGAGAAAAAGAACGGGCUAAAUCUAAAAGAUAAAGAAACCUAAAAGAUUUUCACGGCGUAGUGAUCCUUACAACAUUAAACCUGAUCUCACCGCAAACACGUCAUCUGGUUAUGUAAAGUGUAACAAAAAUUGUGAUUCUUGCAAAAACUAUGUAGAUGAAACGUCUUGUAUAACAUCAUUUGCAACAAGGAAUACAUUUAGGAUUAGACGAAACAGCACUUGUAUCGCAAGUAACGUUGUUUAUGUUGCAUACUGUAAAAAUUGCGGUAAGCAAGGAGUUGGUUCAACUGUAUCUUGGAAAUCAAGAUCGGCGAAUUACAAAUCACAUAAAAAAGAAGGUGCCAUCCUAUAGAAUAGUACGACAUUUUACUUAAGAGUUUUCUAACGACGCGGUACGGCAUAUUCGUUUUAUUAUUAUUGACGUGGUUAAUAAUGUUGAAAAUCUUGCAAAGGGUGAAAUUGAUUGUUGUUGUCGCAAAAUGCGAAGUGUUUUUGAAAAGUGUGGAAAAGUGCGAUGCGAUUUCUAGCAUUUUUUACAUUUAUUCGAAUUACAUCAAGCCAUGAAUUUUAGGUCGGCGUAAGAAACAACCAUGAUUUAUAGCCGUCUUCUUUGUAGGACUAGCAUCUUGUUGAACGCCGGUCGAUUAUCUUUCAGCGCAAUAUUCUCCUUAGGGCUUAAUAUAAUUACUAUUUCGAGACUUCAGCUCUUUAAUUUUCUAUUGUUAAUUUUCUUUUUUUUUUGUAGUUGACGUUUUUUAUUGCAACUAUACGCAUAGGAAUUUUUAAAUGUACCUUGUAAUAUAAAUAACCAGUAUCGUUUGUAACUUGUACCUGAUGAAGAGUAAUAAACUCGAAAGCUUGUCAA